GUCCAACCAAUGAGUCCCAAAUAGGACGAAACGUGAGUCCUGGAU
Schistosoma margrebowiei is the source of this 45-nucleotide non-coding RNA. NCBI's taxonomy places the organism in Eukaryota, Metazoa, Platyhelminthes, Trematoda, Strigeidida, Schistosomatidae. The record is from Rfam.